UACACAUGAUGCUUUUUCACGAUGGUCUUCUGAGCAGAGCUGAAGACAGUUGCCAGUUGGCAUGACUGAUGUAGUCUU
Molecule: small nucleolar RNA, 78 nt
Organism: Mya arenaria
Lineage: Eukaryota; Metazoa; Mollusca; Bivalvia; Myida; Myidae
Product: small nucleolar RNA SNORD35
Exons: 1
Source: RefSeq, a predicted model, not a curated record